Chlorocebus sabaeus (green monkey) is the source of this 99-nucleotide ribosomal RNA. The record is from Ensembl. NCBI's taxonomy places the organism in Eukaryota, Metazoa, Chordata, Mammalia, Primates, Cercopithecidae.
AUCUAUGGCCAUACCACCUUAAUGCUGGAAGAUAAGCAGGGUCAUGUCCUGCCAGUAGUGGGAUGGGAGUCCAUCUGGGAAUACGGGAAACAUUAGGCU